GAAGCUGACCAGACAGUCGCCGCUUCGUCGUCGUCCUCCUUCGGGGGGAGACGGGCGGAGGGGAGGAAAGUCCGGGCUCCAUAGGGCAAGGUGCCAGGUAACGCCUGGGGGGUGUCACAGCCCACGACCAGUGCAACAGAGAGCAAACCGCCGAUGGCCCGCGCAAGCGGGAUCAGGUAAGGGUGAAAGGGUGCGGU
This 197-nucleotide RNase P RNA is filed under the name Escherichia coli. Its description in RNAcentral is "partial RNase P RNA component class A". It matches the Rfam family "Bacterial RNase P class A", at positions 1 to 168 of the family's 367-position model. Rfam says of the family: Ribonuclease P (RNase P) is a ubiquitous endoribonuclease, found in archaea, bacteria and eukarya as well as chloroplasts and mitochondria. Its best characterised activity is the generation of mature 5'-ends of tRNAs by cleaving the 5'-leader elements of precursor-tRNAs. Cellular RNase Ps are ribonucleoproteins. RNAcentral also lists the same sequence under 2 other names. The record is from RNAcentral. Lineage: Bacteria; Pseudomonadati; Pseudomonadota; Gammaproteobacteria; Enterobacterales; Enterobacteriaceae.